UCCAACCGUAGAAGAACCCCUUGCAGCGGCUGCGCUAUCCGGCGCUUGGGGGGAGGCAAUUGGUAAAGUUUUCAUGCCGAAACGCUAAACAAAAUUGGGCUAUGCAGGGUGCCGAGCAGACCUGCAAGCACGCCGAAGCCAGUGAAAGGUAAUGGACCCAAGGGACACGGCUUGAGCUCCGGCUGCAUGUAGCCUUGCGGUCACUGAGCGUCUGUGUUUCUCCACGGCCCGGCUUCGAGUGCUGCAUUCAAGCUGGAUCCUUCACAAGUCACCGGCAUGGAGCCACAGCCGGGUGUGCUGGACAUUCUGGCUCAAUUCUGCCACCGGCUGCUGCAUUGGGGCCCACUGACGGCGCUUUUCAUCAUCAAAUUCAUUUUUCUGACCAGCCUGUACGUGACAUCUAUGUGGCUCUCGCCUUAUGGUUCAACGUUAGGUACCGUCAACCACGCGAUAUUCAUCGGUUGGGUUGGAGUCCUCCUGUACAAUUUCUUCAUGGCCGUCGCUAUGGGACCGGGCUUCGUCCCUCUGAAGUGGAGGCCGGACCAGCCAGAUGACGAGCAGUUCCUGCAAUACUGUGCAAACUGUGAUGGAUUUAAGACACCGCGGUCACACCACUGCCGCAAAUGUGAAAGGUGUGUCUUUAAGAUGGACCAUCACUGUCCAUGGAUCAACACUUGUUGUGGGCACCGGAACCAUGCCAACUUCACACUUUUUUUGUUCUUUGCUGUCUGUGGCAGCAUUCAUGCCUUGGUGCUGUUGAUCAUGGGCCUGGCUAAAGCCUAUCACAGGAAAUAUUACAUGCGCCAAGGUCAAGAGGACAAUCUAGUCUACCUGGGUUUCUUCCCUUUUCUGGCCACGGUGCUGAGCCUGGGCUUAGCCAUUGGUGUCAUCAUUGCAGUGGGAAGCCUCUUUGUUAUACAGCUCAAAAUUAUCAUUCGCAACGAGACGACUAUUGAGAACUGGAUUGUGGCCAAGGCUCAGAUGCGAGAGCGUGAUGAGGAAGACGACUUUGUCUAUCCAUACAACCUGGGCGUGGCUGAGAACCUGAAGCAGGUCUUUUUGUACCCACUUGGUGAUGGCAUUACCUGGCCCGUGGUGCCUGGGUGCAACCAGUACACACUCACUGUUGAGCAAAUUCUUCAGAAGCAUGACAAGCGGCUACGAACCCGCCUGUACACUGUGGUACACCCAUAUCGUGGCUCCUUUUUCCCAAUAUCACAUGGCUGCUCUGUUUGCAUGACGACACCACUCACUGAUGAGCCCCGCAUUGCAGUCAGCCCUGGUGACCGUGUUCUUGUAACUCGGUGGAAAAAGCACUGGCUUUAUGGAGAGUUAGAAAGUGCAAAGUUUUCAACGAAAUCUUCACGCAGGCUGAAGGGCUGGUUUCCACGGCAGUGUGCAGUUGAGGUGGCUGGCAGUAAGGGGAGCCGGAGCUGCACAGAGGCAUCAUCAAGCUAUGCCGACAACAAGAAGUACAAGUGAAACGUGCCAUCACAUCACUGCACCGCUGCAGCCUCUAUUGUCUGCCAAGCUUAGCUGCCAGAUUUCAGACCAGUCAAAUUUUCCCUCCUGUGGGCAGCUGUCCCUGUUGCGUGUGGAUGGACUCGGCUGCUCCCCAAUCUGCAUUCUGUGAAUGUGAAGUGGUGCAUGAUGAAAGGAUUCACACGCACUGGAUGUAAAAACCUGACAGUUGUUUUCUGUGGCUUUGAAUGUUCCCACUGUGAUGACAUUCAUAACAAAGGAAUGCGGUGCUUAUUUUUUAUCUUUACUGCCUUCACCAGCCUUGAGGCCUCUUUGUUUUUGGUAUGUAUGUGCGCAAUGUAAAAAAAUGCUGAAGUAUACAGUAGCACAAUACUCGGAUGUAUUUUUGCUGAGUAAUAUUUGAGGAGAAGGCAGGGUGAAUAUUUUUUGUGAGGUAAUUUUUGGCUAUUGCCCUGUGUAUAUAUGAGUGCAGUCAUCUCCACUGGCUGUUACUAGGAUAAGACGAAACUAUCGUGGUGAUAUUGUCCUUUUUAAGGUUUCGUUUUUACAAUGGAAUCGAUGAUAGCUGCACCUUGUAUGCAGGCUGACAAGGUUGUUAUUUUUUGUAUUCAUCAUGCCCGUAUGUUUUCUGUCCAGUGUAGUAAAAAUUGUUUCUGAUUAGGCAGGGGUGAACAAUGGCGUUUUUAGGCUCUUGCAUCUGAAUGUUCCUCCUCAGUGUUUGUGACAAGCGAGGAUGUGAGGGAUUUGGAACGCCAUUUCUCGCCUUCUGAUUCUGUCGGUCAUUGCACUUUUGUCUCAUUGUCAUGGCUUCUUGCCAUACUAACUUCCAUUGAACUGCGAUUGUGUUUUGUGUAUGUGCAGCAUGUAUACACAUUUUGUGUUUCAGUAUGUCUUUCCCAUUUAUUACUUUCAGAUUCUCAGGUCACUUAACUGAAAAUGAAAAAAUGAAUUUCAUUACUCUGAAUAAAAAGAAAUAAUUACCGACA
RNA transcript from Dermacentor albipictus, 2468 nucleotides. It is a transcript of the gene named palmitoyltransferase ZDHHC6-like, with no coding region annotated. The record is from RefSeq and is a predicted model, not a curated record. Lineage: Eukaryota; Metazoa; Arthropoda; Arachnida; Ixodida; Ixodidae.